This 373-nucleotide unclassified non-coding RNA is filed under the name uncultured fungus. RNAcentral describes it as "partial contains 5.8S ribosomal RNA and internal transcribed spacer 2". The stretch from base 1 to 133 matches the Rfam family "5.8S ribosomal RNA", at positions 22 to 154 of the family's 154-position model. The record is from RNAcentral. Lineage: Eukaryota; Fungi.
UGGCUCUCGCAUCGAUGAAGAACGCAGCGAAAUGCGAUAAGUAAUGUGAAUUGCAGAAUUCAGUGAAUCAUCGAAUCUUUGAACGCACCUUGCGCUCCUUGGUAUUCCGAGGAGCAUGCCUGUUUGAGUGUCUUGAAGUCAUCAACCGCUUGCGUUUUUGUGCGUGGGUGGGUUGGACCAUGGGGGCUUGCUGCCGCAAGGCCGCUCCCCUCAAAUGGAUCGGUCGGGCCUGUAGGUCAAACCCGAAAGGGGCGUUGUACCAUCCUCGCUCUCGUCGGGACCUUCUGUGCCCUUCCCAAGACCCAGCCUUUGGAGUGGCAGGUCAAAUAAAACUUUGAAAUCUGACCUCAAAUCAGGUAGGACUACCCGCUGA